Molecule: ribosomal RNA, 250 nt
Filed under: uncultured bacterium
Lineage: Bacteria
Description: partial 16S ribosomal RNA
Rfam family: Bacterial small subunit ribosomal RNA
Source: RNAcentral
UACGUAGGGUGCAAGCGUUGUCCGGAAUUAUUGGGCGUAAAGAGCUCGUAGGCGGUUUGUCGCGUCUGCUGUGAAAACCCGAGGCUCAACCUCGGGCCUGCAGUGGGUACGGGCAGACUAGAGUGCGGUAGGGGAGAUUGGAAUUCCUGGUGUAGCGGUGGAAUGCGCAGAUAUCAGGAGGAACACCAAUGGCGAAGGCAGAUCUCUGGGCCGUAACUGACGCUGAGGAGCGAAAGCAUGGGUAGCGAAC